Molecule: long non-coding RNA, 2333 nt
Filed under: Nicotiana benthamiana
Lineage: Eukaryota; Viridiplantae; Streptophyta; Magnoliopsida; Solanales; Solanaceae
Description: long non-coding RNA (NBEN_LNC024347)
Source: RNAcentral
UGGAAUUACCAGCCCUUAGGCAUCCAAGUUUAGAGGGAACUCCAGGGUCCCUAAGCAUGGCUUACCAAAGGGGGGUAGAACUUAAGAACUAGGAAUAAGUGCAAAGUGAGAGGGUAACCAUAGCAGAGGUUGGUCAUACCCAGCCAUGGCAUAGGCUGGCACACCCCUGACCGUUUGCUUAGAUCAAACAAAUAGGAGUUGACUCUAGGGAGUCAAACUUAGGGUCCAAGUAGUGAUUACCACACUACCAGACCCAAGUCAAAGCUCAACACAUAAAGGGGAGAGCAAAUGGAAAAGCAUUUGAGUCUGAUUCUGGAUCAUGGACAACAAUAUCAAAUGCUGCCAUGAUUCAGAAUUGUACUAGCACACAAAAGGGAAUGGGGGGAAUGUAUUUCCAUACAGAAGCAUAUACUAACAUUAAAAAUGUAAGAAAGCAUAGAGGACUGCAGAUGCAAGUACGUAGAAGAACAUGCUAUAGAACAUAAACACACAGUGAAGAAUGGAUAGAAGAAGAGAAGUGAAUACACAUAGUAGGAGAGUGUUGUUUAACUUAGAAGUACAUACCAGUUUUCAGUUCUAGUACAGUAGAGAAACAAUUGCAAGUAGACAGCCAGACAGUUAGCAGGAACAAUUCAAAAACUUCAGCAAGUACUUUGGGAGUUCAGAGGGACUCCAGAAAUAUUCAGACAGUAGGAGAUAAGAGAGCAGAGUGCUUUGUAGAGAGACCAUAGUAAGACCGUAGUAAUAGAUAGAGUAUAUAAAGAGAGUAGUAGCCAGUAAAGACAGAGAUUAUUGUGUAUUGCAAAGGUGAAGAAAAGAGUUCUAAGAACUGUGUUGUGUGUUGUUGUUGAAAAGGUUGUCACUUUUUAUAGUGCAAAACGAGUAAGCGAGAAGGCAAGGAAAUAAAAUUACAAUCAAUCAAAUAAAACCUCCCUUUGUCAAAGGGAUUUGAUUUCAAACGGGAAUGAGUAAUUAAGGAAAAGAGAAUAUUGAAAACCUUUUCAGAAGAGCAAAAUAAGUCAGAAAAGCAAAAUAAGGGUAAGUGCAUACAGAGUCUAUUUAGAGUAAGAAAACCUAUAGUACACGGUUUGAAAGAAUAAGGAAAAUACAGUAAUCAAACAGCCGGAAAUUCAAAAACCUUGAAUGAAUUUAGUAAGGAAAAUAGGGAAAAGGCUAAGUUGUAAAAAUCUGUAGUCACAAGCUAACAGUAUCAAUUCAAAAAGGAAAAAACCAUCGUAUAUAAGCAUGAUAAUAUCCAGCUAGAAAGAAAGAUUGGCAUAAAUAGUUUUAGAAUCAUAAGCAAAAGAAAAGCACGUUUCAGUUCAGUCUUUGAACUCAACAUGAGUUCGAGAGCCUAGGGUUUCUAGAGUAGAACCCUAGAACCAAAAGCUCGCAAACCCCUCCGCCCCCAGAUAGGGUUUCAAUCCGAGUAGGACACACAAAAAGAGAAAGCCAACUCAACAAGGUUGGGGAACUCUUUCAGAGUUCCCUGGGGAAAUACACAGACACACGUAGCAAUCAAAAUUAGUAGAGUGAAAGCUUGUAAAGAACAAGUUUAGGAAAACUAAAACUCAAACCAGUUCAGAGAAGAGAUGCCAUAUGAGUUUAUGAAAUAGUGAAAUAAGCAAGUUCGAUAACCCGAAUAGAUUCAGUAAAAGUAAACACCUUCAGUAGGAGGAAUAGUGAAAAAGACAGACAAGACGGGUGUGCUUAUAGAAAAAAUUAGUAGAAGCAGUAAUAGAACAAAGGCAGAGGAAUAUGCAUAUUUAACGGAAAAUCAUAAGGACCACGCGAAAACCACCUAAAGCAUGGUAUGAACACACAGAUUCAUACCAAUAAAGAAGAAGAAUCAUUUUAGGAUUUUUGAAAACCCUAAUUUGAAUAGACAAAUUUUGAAAAGGAAAAUUAGGAAAAGUUGUUAAAACAUAGAAUAGGUAACAGAUAUGCUAUAAAUCUAAGAAAAAAGGAAAAAAAAACCUCGAAUUAAGAUAUUUAGGGUUUUCUCAGAAACCCUAGAGACGAUAAAGCCUGGAACGAUCUAGUUUUUAGAAGAUCUGAGCCAUGGCUAGGCACAUAAGAGCUUGAACACGCCAGAACAGAGCCAGAGGAGCCGCAUGAACUCAGGUCGGCGGAGGACCUGAACAGGUCUGUUGAAACUUUAUCCGUGAAAACCUCGAAUAAUCAUGGCUUGGGGUGAAAGGGGAGAGAGUAUAGGUUGUCCAUGGCCUGGGAAGCCAUGGAUGUCUGUGGGUUUGGUCGGAGACGAUGAUAGGCGGCUAGGGUUUCGAGUGGCCUAGAGAGCAUUUGAGAGAAAAAGGGAUUUGGGGGCGGCG